Molecule: long non-coding RNA, 1148 nt
Organism: Cephus cinctus (wheat stem sawfly)
Lineage: Eukaryota; Metazoa; Arthropoda; Insecta; Hymenoptera; Cephidae
Exons: 2
Source: RefSeq, a predicted model, not a curated record
UUACACAAUCGAUUCCCUGAUGCACCAUUCUACAAUUGCUUAGUUUCCACCGUGCAGAGUUUAGAGUUAGGCAGCUUCAUCAUCGGUCAAUUCCAUAUAACUCCUACACGUGAUUGGUUAACUCUGUUUAACCUCAGCACGGUGGAAACUAAUUUAAUGAUCACUAUAUUCUGCUCACAGACCACUUAUGCCCGUUUCCUCCGACGCGGUUUAGUGUUGAACGUAGUUUAAACUCCGAUUACUGAAUUUUUACAUUACUCCAACAAUUGAACGGAAGAUAACCGGCGUUUAACUUGAACGCCCGAUGUCGACCGUUCAGGGACUUAAACGUCGUUCAAUACCGUUGUUUGAUGGCUGUGUCAAUGGUGGGGAGAAGGGUAGCGUUGGUUAGAGGUUAAGUUGUUUGGUUCAGUUCAUCUUCUGAUAAUGAUGAAAUUAUAGAUUUUAUUAAUUGAAGACCGGAAAAAUUCAAAAUUCGCCAUAAUUACUUUGAAGAAUUGGAUGAUGUAGAAUUUAAAAUGAAAUUUCGAAUGGGCAAAUAAUGAUGUGGCUAUGUAAUGAAGUACAGGAAGAUGUUGACGUUCCCUUCAAAUAAAAAUUAGCUGAUACCACCACUGGAUCAGUUGUUGCUCACUUUAAGAUUAUACGCAACAAGAUCCCAUUACAUGUCUGUAGCAGAUUUUUCUAGUGUAAGCAUAACUUCUGCACAUCGUAUUACUUCUUGUGCUUCUUGUGGAUGUGAUUGCAAGAUUAAAACCACGUUUCGUGAAGUUCCUUUCGACAAAUGAAGAAAUUCGUCAGCAACAAGAACAGUUUCACAGAAUUGCAAGGUUUCCAAAAGAGGUUUCUUCGUUGACAGCAGCGAUAUAGUUUUCUUAAAAUUAUAAAUUGCAUUUAUUCCAAUAAUAUAGUGAUGUUUGCUUCUCCACAGGUUGUAAAGUUCCAGAAUCAAGUCGACACUUAACAACAGAAGAAUGGUAAAUAAUAUAGGAAAUUCAAGGACAUUAAUCAGAAGAUUGAAUUGUACAUAAAAUUAAUUUGGGUAAUGAUUGUUUUAUUAAAAUUUUGAGAACCCAUGGUUCAUAAUAGUAAAUAAAUAUUGGAAAAGAUAUUCAAUAAAUAAAGCAGUAACGAUUCGUGUAAUUUUA